Long non-coding RNA from Vombatus ursinus (common wombat), 230 nucleotides. RefSeq lists it as uncharacterized. Lineage: Eukaryota; Metazoa; Chordata; Mammalia; Diprotodontia; Vombatidae. The record is from RefSeq and is a predicted model, not a curated record. The transcript is spliced from 4 exons.
CUCCUCUACACACACACUCACACCACAAUCCUCCCCUCCUUGCAACAAAUAGAAACAGAUGUACAAGUCCAAUCCAGCAGCAAUGAAAAAGUGGCACGUGAGUACAUAUCAGAGGAAGGACUUAAACACAGAUCUUCUUAACUCCAAUGGUUCUCUGUGCCAUGAGAGCUUUCAGUUUGUGAUACCGGGCAGGAAUGCUGUACUGUGGGAUUGGUUCCAGUAAGAUGAGG